This is a long non-coding RNA of Lolium rigidum, 692 nucleotides long. RefSeq lists it as uncharacterized. The record is from RefSeq and is a predicted model, not a curated record. The transcript has 3 exons. NCBI's taxonomy places the organism in Eukaryota, Viridiplantae, Streptophyta, Magnoliopsida, Poales, Poaceae.
AAGCUAGCUGGGCAUUUAAAGUUCAUGCUUACAUUGGCAAACCAUAUUCAGCAUUAUUGGGUCCAACGCUGGUAGUAAAGAUGGUGUAGCGGCGAAGAAACCAAAGCGGUAUAAAGUUCUGUUCUGCAUAGCCUUUUCUUCAUGGAUAGUUUCUAUUGUGAGUUCUGCUCACAGCCUCACAGGGCUAGGUGGAGAGCUUAUUAGUAUCUUAGUAGUGCUCACUACCUCGAUGUCUUGACGCACACUACUACUCUGUUGGUUCUCUGCUUAAAUGAGGCAUCAAAUAUUCACUCUGCCAAAGUAGUGAAUAUAUGAAUGGUAUUCUUGCUUAGGGUAUUUCUCAAUAUCUCUCUGCUGAUUUAGUCAAUAACUAUAGUAGCCUGACAAUUAGUCCUUGGUGAAGGUAAUUUACCUCUCCCUCAUUACAUAUCUGGAUACAUGUGGUGGUUGCAUUCCUUUACUAAAGCUUGGUAUUUUUGUGUCUCCGGUGAAGCUCCGGUGGAUGGCGGUGAGAUGCAUGGCAUUUCUUCAGAGCCUUAUAUGCAUCGUUAUGAUUAUGCAUGAUUUAUAGUGUGUUCCAACCAGAGUUGUUCCUUUAUUGGCUAAUAUCAAUGAGAAGUAUAUGUAGCUUAUCCCAACCUCUUGAAGGUUAUGUUCUUCAAUUUUUUUUUGUCUUGGACUGCACACAAUGU